This 425-nucleotide ribosomal RNA is filed under the name uncultured bacterium. RNAcentral describes it as "partial 16S ribosomal RNA". It matches the Rfam family "Bacterial small subunit ribosomal RNA", at positions 354 to 796 of the family's 1533-position model. The record is from RNAcentral.
GUGGGGAAUAUUGGACAAUGGGCGCAAGCCUGAUCCAGCAAUGCCGCGUGGGUGAAGAAGGUCUUCGGAUCGUAAAGCCCUUUCGACAGGGACGAUGAUGACGGUACCUGUAGAAGAAGCCCCGGCUAACUUCGUGCCAGCAGCCGCGGUAAUACGAAGGGGGCUAGCGUUACUCGGAAUUACUGGGCGUAAAGGGCGCGUAGGCGGCUCUGUUAGUCAGGCGUGAAAUUCCUGGGCUUAACCUGGGGACUGCGCUUGAUACUGCAGGGCUUGAGGCCGAGAGAGGGUGGUGGAAUUCCCAGUGUAGAGGUGAAAUUCGUAGAUAUUAGGAGGAACACCAGUGGCGAAGGCGACUUUCUGGACUGUAACUGACGCUGAGGCUCGAAAGCCAGGGGAGCGAACGGGAUUAGAUACCCGGGUAGUCC